Molecule: ribosomal RNA, 440 nt
Filed under: uncultured bacterium
Lineage: Bacteria
Description: partial 16S ribosomal RNA
Rfam family: Bacterial small subunit ribosomal RNA
Source: RNAcentral
CCUACGGGAGGCAGCAGUGGGGCAUAUUGCACAAUGGGGGAAACCCUGAUGCAGCGACGCCGCGUGAGUGAAGAAGUAAUUCGUUAUGUAAAGCUCUAUCAGCAGGGAAGAAAAUGACGGUACCUGAGUAAGAAGCCACGGCUAACUACGUGCCAGCAGCCGCGGCAAUACGUAGGGGGCAAGCGUUAUCCGGAUUUACUGGGUGUAAAGGGAGCGUAGACGGCAUUGCAAGUCUGGAGUGAAAGGCGGUGGCUCAACCCCAGGACUGCUGUGGAAACUGGAAGGCUGGAGUGCAGGAGAGGUAGGUGGAAUUCCUAGUGUAGCGGUGAAAUGCGUAGAUAUUAGGAGGAACACCAGUGGCGAAGGCGGCUUACUGGACUGUAACUGACGUUGAGGCUCGAAAGCGUGGGGAGCAAACAGGAUUAGAUACCCGGGUAGUC